RNAcentral lists this ribosomal RNA (162 nucleotides) under Triticum aestivum (bread wheat). Its description in RNAcentral is "partial small subunit ribosomal RNA". The record is from RNAcentral. Lineage: Eukaryota; Viridiplantae; Streptophyta; Magnoliopsida; Poales; Poaceae.
UUGUGGAAGCUCAAAAUCCCUCUAAGAGUGAAGAUUUUCCUCUGGUUUCUUAACAGAGGAGUCAUCCUAACUAGAGACAAUCUGGCACGACGAAACUGGCAUGGUUCCAAGACAUGUGUCUUUUGCCAACAUGACGAGUCUAUUAAACACUUAUUUUUUUAG